AUUGAACGCUGGCGGAAUGCUUUACACAUGCAAGUCGAACGGCAGCACGGACUUCGGUCUGGUGGCGAGUGGCGAACGGGUGAGUAAUGUAUCGGAACGUGCCCAGUCGUGGGGGAUAACGUAGUGAAAAUUACGCUAAUACCGCAUACGAUCUAUGGAUGAAAGCGGGGGAUCGCAAGACCUCGCGCGAUUGGAGCGUCCGAUAUCAGAUUAGGUAGUUGGUGGGGUAAAGGCCCACCAAGCCAACGAUCUGUAGCUGGUCUGAGAGGACGACCAGCCACGCUGGAACUGAGACACGGUCCAGACUCCUACGGGAGGCAGCAGUGGGGAAUUUUGGACAAUGGGCGAAAGCCUGAUCCAGCCAUUCCGCGUGCAGGAUGAAGGCCCUCGGGUUGUAAACUGCUUUUGUACAGAACGAAAAGGUUUCUACUAAUACUAGGAGCUCAUGACGGUACUGUAAGAAUAAGCACCGGCUAACUACGUGCCAGCCGCCGCGGUAA
Molecule: ribosomal RNA, 500 nt
Filed under: uncultured bacterium
Lineage: Bacteria
Description: partial 16S ribosomal RNA
Rfam family: Bacterial small subunit ribosomal RNA
Source: RNAcentral